UUGUUGGGUAGGGGAGCGUUCUGUAAGCCUGUGAAGGUGUGUCGUGAGGCAUGCUGGAGGUAUCAGAAGUGCGAAUGCUGACAUAAGUAACGAUAAAGCGGGUGAAAAGCCCGCUCGCCGGAAGACCAAGGGUUCCUGUCCAACGUUAAUCGGGGCAGGGUGAGUCGACCCCUAAGGCGAGGCCGAAAGGCGUAGUCGAUGGGAAACGGGUUAAUAUUCCCGUACUUGGUGUUACUGCGAAGGGGGGACGGAGAAGGCUAUGUUGGCCGGGCGACGGUUGUCCCGGUUUAAGCGUGUAGGUGUGUGUUCCAGGUAAAUCCGGUUCACUUUAACACUGAGGCGUGAUGACGAGGCACUACGGUGCUGAAGCAACAAAUGCCCUGCUUCCAGGAAAAGCCUCUAAGCAUCAGGUAACAUCAAAUCGUACCCCAAACCGACACAGGUGGUCAGGUAGAGAAUACCAAGGCGCUUGAGAGAACUCGGGUGAAGGAACUAGGCAAAAUGGUGCCGUAACUUCGGGAGAAGGCACGCUGACACGUAGGUGAAGUGAUUUACUCACGGAGCUGAAGUCAGUCGAAGAUACCAGCUGGCUGCAACUGUUUAUUAAAAACACAGCACUGUGCAAACACGAAAGUGGACGUAUACGGUGUGACGCCUGCCCGGUGCCGGAAGGUUAAUUGAUGGGGUCAGCGCAAGCGAAGCUCCUGAUCGAAGCCCCGGUAAACGGCGGCCGUAACUAUAACGGUCCUAAGGUAGCGAAAUUCCUUGUCGGGUAAGUUCCGACCUGCACGAAUGGCGUAAUGAUGGCCAGGCUGUCUCCACCCGAGACUCAGUGAAAUUGAACUCGCUGUGAAGAUGCAGUGUACCCGCGGCAAGACGGAAAGACCCCGUGAACCUUUACUAUAGCUUGACACUGAACAUUGAGCCUUGAUGUGUAGGAUAGGUGGGAGGCUUUGAAGUGUGGACGCCAGUCUGCAUGGAGCCGACCUUGAAAUACCACCCUUUAAUGUUUGAUGUUCUAACGUGGACCCGUUACCGGGUUGCGGACAGUGUCUGGUGGGUAGUUUGACUGGGGCGGUCUCCUCCUAAAGAGUAACGGAGGAGCACGAAGGUUGGCUAAUCCUGGUCGGACAUCAGGAGGUUAGUGCAAUGGCAUAAGCCAGCUUGACUGCGAGCGUGACGGCGCGAGCAGGUGCGAAAGCAGGUCAUAGUGAUCCGGUGGUUCUGAAUGGAAGGGCCAUCGCUCAACGGAUAAAAGGUACUCCGGGGAUAACAGGCUGAUACCGCCCAAGAGUUCAUAUCGACGGCGGUGUUUGGCACCUCGAUGUCGGCUCAUCACAUCCUGGGGCUGAAGUAGGUCCCAAGGGUAUGGCUGUUCGCCAUUUAAAGUGGUACGCGAGCUGGGUUUAGAACGUCGUGAGACAGUUCGGUCCCUAUCUGCCGUGGGCGCUGGAGAACUGAGGGGGGCUGCUCCUAGUACGAGAGGACCGGAGUGGACGCAUCACUGGUGUUCGGGUUGUCAUGCCAAUGGCACUGCCCGGUAGCUAAAUGCGGAAGAGAUAAGUGCUGAAAGCAUCUAAGCACGAAACUUGCCCCGAGAUGAGUUCU
Molecule: ribosomal RNA, 1608 nt
Filed under: Salmonella enterica subsp. enterica serovar Heidelberg str. 41584
Lineage: Bacteria; Pseudomonadati; Pseudomonadota; Gammaproteobacteria; Enterobacterales; Enterobacteriaceae
Description: bacterial LSU rRNA
Rfam family: Bacterial large subunit ribosomal RNA
Source: RNAcentral